GUAAAGUUUUAUUUUGGCUUUAAAUUUUAUUUAUGGUUUAUUUUAUAUGUAAUUUUUUGAAUGGAUUAAUUUUUAUUUUAAUAGUAAAUAUUUUUUUAUAAAAUUCGCAGUAAUUAAUAUUAUUAAUUAAAGAAAUUUAGAAAUAGUAAUAUUAUAUAGUAUUGACUAAAUUUGUGCCAGCAGUCGCGGUUAUACAAAUAAUGCAAAUGAAAUGACUCAGUUAAAGUUAAAUUUAAUUUGUUUAAAAUAAAAAUAAAUUUAUUAGGUGAAAUUUUAAAUUUAUAUAAUUUUUUAUAUUUUUUAUUGAAGCUUGAAAAUUUUAGCAAUAAACUAGGAUUAGAUACCCUAUUAUUUAAAAUGUAAAUUAAUUAACUAAGGUAGUAUUAGUUAUAAUCUUGAAACUUAAAAAAUUUGGCGGUAUUUUAGUCUAUUCAGAGGAACCUGUCCUAUAAUUGAUAUUCCACGUUGGACCUUACUUAAAUUUGUUUAUCAGUUUAUAUACCGUCGUUAUAAGAAUAUUUUAAAAGAAUAAUAAUUUUCAAUAAUUUUUAUAAUAAUUUAUAUCAGAUCAAGGUGUAGCUUAUAUUUAAGUAGAGAUGGGUUACAAUAAAUUUAUUUUUGGAUUUAAAUAUGAAAAAUUUGAUGAAAUUGGAUUUGAUAGUAAAAUUAUAAAGAUUAAUAAUUUGAUUAUAGCUCUAAAAUAUGUACACAUCGCCCGUCGCUCUUAUUAAUAAGAUAAGAUAAGUCGUAACAUAGUAGAUGUACUGGAAAGUGUAUCUAGAAUUC
RNAcentral lists this non-coding RNA (786 nucleotides) under Hydrellia maura. Lineage: Eukaryota; Metazoa; Arthropoda; Insecta; Diptera; Ephydridae. The record is from RNAcentral.